AGCCCAUGACAGGUUGGUCAAAGGCAGGUGUUGUGCCCACGUGGAAGCCCAACAGCUGCAUUCCUGCUGUAUUCCCUGGCACCCACCUGGAUGGCUUUCUAGGAUAUUUCCCAAGAGCUCUGCAAGGAGCCCAGCACCCAGUGUGGGCAGGAAGAGAGAGAGACACCACCUCUUCUUGAGAGACACCAUGACUUACCAGCUCUGUGUCAAAGCUUUUCUUUCAGCUAAGGAGUCAGCAGCAGAAGAGGAGCAGUGAAUUCCAACACCCAGCAACAUGUACAAGGUACUGAUAAAGGCCCUGAAAUUUGGUAUUCAAACCUCAGGAGUGUAGAAAUAACUGUAAGAAGUUUUUUCAGUUGAGUAGACAUUAACACUGCCCUAAGUGCAGGGAAAAGGCAUUCCACAUGUAUUUAAUGGUAACAUUAAUAUAUCUGAGGAUAAUUCUUAUCUAAUGAACACCCAGAUUAUUUUCUUUUCUUGGCUAGUGUUUAAGUAGUCUAACUUCUUUUUAGGAUGUUGAGUAUCUUUUCUUGUUCAGUGGAGUCAGUAGUAUCUUUGCUUCUUGGAAAUUUGUCUACUCUUAGGGUUUCCUUCUUUAGUGUCCUCUGUGCAUUUUAAUUGUUCCAAUAAUCUCUGGUUAAAAAACCAGGUUUUUCUAAAAUGCUGAUAAAAUGAGUACACAAUAUUUUUACAAUUAAAAAGAAAUUAUUUUCGUGACAA
This is a long non-coding RNA of Passer montanus (Eurasian tree sparrow), 720 nucleotides long. RefSeq lists it as uncharacterized. The transcript is spliced from 2 exons. The record is from RefSeq and is a predicted model, not a curated record. NCBI's taxonomy places the organism in Eukaryota, Metazoa, Chordata, Aves, Passeriformes, Passeridae.